Molecule: ribosomal RNA, 238 nt
Filed under: uncultured bacterium
Lineage: Bacteria
Description: partial 16S ribosomal RNA
Rfam family: Bacterial small subunit ribosomal RNA
Source: RNAcentral
CCGGCACGGGUGAGUAACACGUAUCCAACCUGCCGUCUACUCUUGGCCAGCCUUCUGAAGGAAGAUUAAUCCAGGAUGGCAUCAUGAGUUCACAUGUCCGCAUGAUUAAAGGUAUUUUCCGGUAGACGAUGGGGAUGCGUUCCAUUAGAUAGUAGGCGGGGUAACGGCCCACCUAGUCAACGAUGGAUAGGGGUUCUGAGAGGAAGGUCCCCCACAUUGGAACUGAGACACGGUCCAA